RNAcentral lists this ribosomal RNA (719 nucleotides) under uncultured bacterium. RNAcentral describes it as "bacterial SSU rRNA". It matches the Rfam family "Bacterial small subunit ribosomal RNA", at positions 62 to 761 of the family's 1533-position model. The record is from RNAcentral.
ACGCACAGUCGUAAAGGUGCUUGCACCUUUCAAGCUGAGUGGCGAACGGGCUGAGUAACACGUGGAUAACCUACCUCAAGGCUUGGGGAUAACAUUUGGAAACAGAUGCUAAUACCGAAUAAAACUUAGUAUCGCAUGAUACCAGGUUAAAAGGCGCUACGGCGUCACCUAGAGAUGGAUCCGCGGUGCAUUAAUUAGUUGGUGGGGUAAAGGCUUACCAAGACAAUGAUGCAUAGCCGAGUUGAGAGACUGAUCGGCCACAUUGGGACUGAGACACGGCCCAAACUCCUACGGGAGGCUGCAGUAGGGAAUCUUCCACAAUGGGCGAAAGCCUGAUGGAGCAACGCCGCGUGUGUGAUGAAGGCUUUCGGGUCGUAAAGCACUGUUGUAUGGGAAGAACAGCUAGAGUAGGGAAUGACUUUAGUUUGACGGUACCAUACCAGAAAGGGACGGCUAAAUACGUGCCAGCAGCCGCGGUAAUACGUAUGUCCCGAGCGUUAUCCGGAUUUAUUGGGCGUAAAGCGAGCGCAGACGGUUAAUUAAGUCUGAUGUGAAAGCCCGGAGCUCAACUCCGGAAAGGCAUUGGAAACUGGUUAACUUGAGUGCAGUAGAGGUAAGUGGAACUCCAUGUGUAGCGGUGGAAUGCGUAGAUAUAUGGAAGAACACCCAGCGGCGAAGGCGGCUUACUGGACUGUAANCUGANCGUGANGCUCNAAGUG